This 77-nucleotide transfer RNA is filed under the name Silvanigrellaceae bacterium. RNAcentral's name for it is "tRNA-Asp". It matches the Rfam family "tRNA". From Rfam's summary of the family: Transfer RNA (tRNA) molecules are approximately 80 nucleotides in length. Their secondary structure includes four short double-helical elements and three loops (D, anti-codon, and T loops). Further hydrogen bonds mediate the characteristic L-shaped molecular structure. tRNAs have two regions of fundamental functional importance: the anti-codon, which is responsible for specific mRNA codon recognition, and the 3' end, to which the tRNAs corresponding amino acid is attached (by aminoacyl-tRNA synthetases). tRNAs cope with the degeneracy of the genetic code in two manners: having more than one tRNA (with a specific anti-codon) for a particular amino acid; and 'wobble' base-pairing, i.e. permitting non-standard base-pairing at the 3rd anti-codon position. Lineage: Bacteria; Pseudomonadati; Bdellovibrionota; Oligoflexia; Silvanigrellales; Silvanigrellaceae. The record is from RNAcentral.
GGGGUGGUAGUAGAGUUGGUUACAACGCUGGCCUGUCACGCCGGAGGUCGCGGGUUCAAAUCCCGUCCAUCCCGCCA